UACGGAAUGUGCAAACGUUAUUCGGAAUCACUGGGCUUAAAGAGUCCGUAGGCGGCUUGUUAGGUGAGGUGUGAAAUCCCUCGGCCCAACCGAGGAAUUGCGCUUCAAACCGGCAAGCUAGAGGAGGAUAGAGGUGGGCGGAACUGAUGGUGGAGCGGUGAAAUGCGUUGAUAUCAUCAGGAACACCGGAGGCGAAGGCGGUCCACUGGGUCCUAUCUGACGCUGAGGCGCGAAAGCCAGGGGAGCAAACGGG
This 253-nucleotide ribosomal RNA is filed under the name uncultured bacterium. RNAcentral describes it as "partial 16S ribosomal RNA". It matches the Rfam family "Bacterial small subunit ribosomal RNA", at positions 524 to 776 of the family's 1533-position model. The record is from RNAcentral.